AUGGACAUACGCCUAGACUGAAGGUCUCCCAAAGAAGGAUCCCAAAGCUCCAUACAUCACUUUCAGAAGUGUAUCUCCCUGAGGAAGGAGAGAAAGUGGAUAAUAUAAAUUCAAAGAAUAUUUCUGAGAUGUACUGUAUGCUGCCCUGAACCAUUGAUGAACUGAGGUCUCCUUCUCCAUUCUCCUGUCCAGCAAACUUUGAAAGAAAAUAAAUUUAAAAGCCCCUGUCUUAAUCGGAUGAAAAGCAGGCCCUGUGGAUAAGAGCGAUGAUGCUAGAUGGAGAAGUGAAGACCAUCUCUGUCACAGCUGUGCAGAGAGGCACAGGAGUGCCAGGGCCAGUUAGAGCAGGGCCGAGAGGACAGGCAAUCACAAGGAUAAUAAUGCCAGAGAAGCAAACUGUGGAGCUGCAAGUAUGUCAGAAGCAGCAGAGCAAGAAAGUUGCAGUGCACAGGACCUGCUCCCCUACACAAAGCCCCUGCAGCAACAGCGUUUUCAUGUGGACUAGGACCAUCCAUAGCAGUAGCAGCUGUAUGUAAAUCAUUGUACUCUCCAAUAUUUGUAAACAUGGCAAAAAUGUAGGGGUUGCUUUAUGUGUAUCUAAACAGUUAUUUUCAUGUUCUUUUGAUGAAAUUUUCAUCACUCCCAUUUCAAUCUAUAAUGUGGUUUUCUUUGUUUAUAUAUACACAUAGUG
Molecule: long non-coding RNA, 691 nt
Organism: Mauremys mutica (yellowpond turtle)
Lineage: Eukaryota; Metazoa; Chordata; Testudines; Geoemydidae
Exons: 4
Source: RefSeq, a predicted model, not a curated record